This 185-nucleotide small nuclear RNA is filed under the name Procambarus clarkii (red swamp crayfish). RNAcentral describes it as "U2 spliceosomal RNA". It matches the Rfam family "U2 spliceosomal RNA". From Rfam's summary of the family: U2 is a small nuclear RNA (snRNA) component of the spliceosome (involved in pre-mRNA splicing). Complementary binding between U2 snRNA (in an area lying towards the 5' end but 3' to hairpin I) and the branchpoint sequence (BPS) of the intron results the bulging out of an unpaired adenosine, on the BPS, which initiates a nucleophilic attack at the intronic 5' splice site, thus starting the first of two transesterification reactions that mediate splicing. The record is from RNAcentral. Lineage: Eukaryota; Metazoa; Arthropoda; Malacostraca; Decapoda; Cambaridae.
ACUCCUGUAACAUUAUUCAAUAAACAAAUAAUCUGUUCUUAUCAGCUUAAUAUCUGAUACGAUCCCCAUGUGGGAUCCUCGAUAUUAAACUGAUUUUUGCAACAUGGCGAAGUGCUAGGAGCUUGCUCCACCUUUGCCGCGGAUCGGCCCGGUAUUGCAGUACCUCUGGGAUCGGUCCACUCCCU